AUACGAGUUAAAACUUAMAAUUUAAAAGAYUUGACGGUAYUUCACAACAACYUAGAGGAGCCUGUCUAAUAACCGAUACUCCACGAUUAACCCAACCCCCCCUAGCCUAACAGUCUAUAUACCGCCGUCGCCAGCUUACCUUGUGAAAGAAACAAAGUGAGCUCAAUAGACACCCCAAACACGACAGGUCGAGGUGUAACUAAUGGGGGGGAUAGGAUGGGCUACAUUUUCUAAUAUAGAAAAUACGAAUAGACUAUGAAACUAGAAACUGAAGGCGGAUUUAGCAGUAUGAUAAGGACAAAAUACUUAACCGAAACCAACGCAAUGAAGUGCGUACACACCGCCCGUCAUCCCUGAAAAAUAAACCACAAGAAUACAUAAAACACCACCACCUUUAAAACAGGGCAAGUCGUAACAA
This 418-nucleotide ribosomal RNA is filed under the name Contia tenuis. RNAcentral describes it as "partial 12S ribosomal RNA". It matches the Rfam family "Microsporidia small subunit ribosomal RNA", at positions 757 to 1278 of the family's 1311-position model. Lineage: Eukaryota; Metazoa; Chordata; Lepidosauria; Squamata; Dipsadidae. The record is from RNAcentral.